AUUGAACGCUGGCGGCAGGCCUAACACAUGCAAGUCGAACGAGUGGCGGACGGGUGAGUAAUGUCUGGGAAACUGCCUGAUGGCGGGGGAUAACUACUGGAAACGGUAGCUAAUACCGCAUACCAUCAGAUCUGCCCAGAUGGGAUUAGCUUGUUGGUGGGGUAACGGCUCACCAAGGCGACGCGCCCUAGCUGGUCUGAGAGGAUGACCAGCCACACUGGGACUGAGACACGGUCCAGACUCCUACGGGAGGCAGCAGUGGGGAAUAUUGCACAAUGGGCGAGAGCCUGAUGCAGCCAUGCCGCGUGUAUGAAGAAGGCCUUCGGGUUGUAAAGUACUUUCAGCUGGGAAGCGGUACCCGCAGAAGAAGCACCGGCUAACUCCGUGCCAGCAGCCGCGGUAAUUC
Molecule: ribosomal RNA, 406 nt
Filed under: uncultured bacterium
Lineage: Bacteria
Description: partial 16S ribosomal RNA
Rfam family: Bacterial small subunit ribosomal RNA
Source: RNAcentral